Long non-coding RNA from Sinocyclocheilus grahami, 90 nucleotides. RefSeq lists it as uncharacterized. The transcript has 3 exons. NCBI's taxonomy places the organism in Eukaryota, Metazoa, Chordata, Actinopteri, Cypriniformes, Cyprinidae. The record is from RefSeq and is a predicted model, not a curated record.
GGAUGAUUUAGACAAUGUCAUACUAAGGUCAAGCAUGUGUCUAGCUGGAGACAGCGUGGUUUCAUCAUGCAGUGGCUUUGAGAUUGGGCU